This 30-nucleotide non-coding RNA is filed under the name Mus musculus (house mouse). Lineage: Eukaryota; Metazoa; Chordata; Mammalia; Rodentia; Muridae. The record is from RNAcentral.
UGAAUGCAUAGAGCUGGUUUGCGUGGGCUC